CAACAAACAAUGGAACUAACGAAAAGAAGAAAAUUGGAUAAUUUCACAGCCGAACAUGAUACUACAUCUUUAGACUACAUCGAACUGCAAAAUAUGGAAAUGGAAUCUCCGAUUUCAUCAACCACUGACAUUCAAAGUAACGAUGAGGCGACCGGC
Long non-coding RNA from Cydia fagiglandana, 156 nucleotides. RefSeq lists it as uncharacterized. NCBI's taxonomy places the organism in Eukaryota, Metazoa, Arthropoda, Insecta, Lepidoptera, Tortricidae. The transcript is spliced from 4 exons. The record is from RefSeq and is a predicted model, not a curated record.